CUUUUAUUGAAAAGCUUGACAUGGUAGCUUUUUAUAUCCCCAAAGAUGUUCACAUUCCAAUUCCUGGUGUUAAGCCUGUGAAUAUGUCAACAUUACAUAACAGGAAAUUAUGCUUGUAGAUAGAAUCAAUUGCUAGUAAAUUGACCUUAAAGUAGAGAGAGUAUCCUGGAUUAUCCAGAUGGGUCCAAAGUAGUCACAUGGGUCCUUACAAGUGAAGAAGGAAGGCCAAAAUGUGGGUUAGAGAAAAGUAGCCAUGAAAGAAGGGGCAAGAGAGAUGGCAGCACGGAGGAGACCUCAGGACAAUUGGAUGGAACUGAAUUCUGCCAACGCCUGAGCGAACAUGGAAAUGAAUGUUCCCCUAUAGUCUCCAGAAAGAAAAAUCAGUGUGCUGGCAUCUUGAUUUUAGCCCAGGGAGACGAUGUUGGACUUCUGACCUCCACAACUCCCAUUCCUGCCACUCGCUUCUCUUGAAUUAAUGAAUCCUGGAAGAAUCAAGGAUGGCAUCAUGAAGGAUUUGAAUUCUCAUCUGUGUCUUAGCGAAUGGUUCGUUAGUGACAUUUUACCUUUCUGUGAAAAGGAGUCUCAUGUUUUCUACCAUCAUCCAUGGAACAGUGACAGCCACAUUUGUUAGCUUGUAGCACUAUUCAUAAUAUCAAAGACACGGAAUCAACCUAAAUGUCCACCAAUGAUAGACUGUAUAAAGAAAAUGUGCUACAUAUACACCAUGGAAUACUAUGCAGCCAUAAAAAGAAUUAGAUAAUGUUUCAUUAUUUUCAUGUCCUUUGCAGGGACAUGGAUGGAGCCGGGGACCAACCUUAGCAAACUAACACAGGAACAAAAAAACCAAAUACUGCAUGUUCUCACUUAUAAGUGGGAGCUAAAUGAUGAGAAUACAUGGACACAUAGACGGGAACAACACACACUGGGAACCAACAAAGGGUGGAGGGUGGGAGGAAGAAGAGGAUCGAGAAAAAUGACUAACGGGUACUAGGCUUCAUACCUCCCGGGUGAUGAAAUAAUCUGUACAAGAAACUCUCGUGACAAAAGUUUACCUAUGUAACACAAAUGCAUGUAUAACCCUGAACUUAAAAUAAAAGUUAAAAAAAGAAGAAGUAGGGUAAGUUCUCAGAUCCUUUUCUGGUUCUUGAUACCUAUUUCUUGAAAAGUUUUAAAGUAAAAUAUUUAUUCUUAAUUAAAAUUUUAUCUAAACAUAUGUAUAUGUACUCUUGAAAGCAGUAUGUUUUGACUGUCUCUGUGUCCCCACCCAAACCUCACCUUGAAUUGCAAUCCCUAGCUUCCACUUGUACAUGCUCAUGGCAACUUCCCUUUCCCCAAACUGUGACAAGCAGAAAUGUCUCCAGAUACUGCCAAAUUCUCCAGAUACUGCAAAAUGCCUGCCAUACACACUGUUUACAAUCACUGUACUAGACUAAGCUCUCAAAAUAUACACUGCAAAUAUUUCCCUACCUUUUUUUUUUCUCUAGUAUCCUCCAUAGUGUUUGAUCAAUAAUAAGGGCUCAUUAAGAAAUAUUGCCAAAAAAAAAAAAAGAAAAGAAAAAGGAUAAACUUCCCUUGGAAUUAAAAGAUUCAUUAUAAAAGUUUAUAUAAAAAGUCAGAUAUACUUAAAAAGUCAUUUACAAAUUAUGUUUGUCACCUCAUCUGUUAAAUUUUGAUUACUACUAUUGUGGAAAUAUGUUUCCUUUUUCUCAUUUUUAAACUACUGACCUCUACAGAGAAAAACAGUCAAAAGAAAAUCUAUGGUUGCUUUUUUCUUUCUUUUCAUUUUUCUGUUUCAGCUAAAAACUUUGAAUUGAAGAUUAAUGACUGAAUACAAUGAAUUGCAUUAUUUUCAAGUGACUGUAAGCUUGUGUGCGCUGAGAGAAAAGCUUCAGUUAUAAUUGUUUAUAACUUGUGUUAUUCCCAUAUUUUUCGUGAAUAUAUCUUCCAUCAAAGUUUCUUCUCCUUCCAUAAAAUAAAUUUCCAUUUAUUCAAUAGUGUAAGUUUUUCAACACACAGCAAUUUUGAUAGCAUUGUAUGAAAAUAAAAUGAUAAAUCCGUAGAAAAUUAGUUGUAGUUAAAGCUGAAUUCCCAUGAUGUAUGAAGUCUGCAGGAUAUCUAGGAGGAAGAUCUAUAAGGUAACUGCUGCAGGAUACAAUUUUGUCACUUUUUUAAUACUUAAAAAUAUAGUAAUCUCAUACAAUUUAUCAGCAAGAUGUGUUUCAGUGUUUUCAUGAUAUCUGAGCACUGAACUCAGCAUUCUUUUCUUGUUUCAUCAGAAGGUCGAUGCACUUGUUCCCUAUUUUCAAAAUAUGGGAUGUUAUGUCUUCAGAAAAUCAGUGGUUUAGAUGCCAUGACAUAGUAUAUUUGAAUAAAGUACAUUUAUUAGAAAUGUAUAUUAAAAUAUGUUCCAGAGAUAAUUUUUUUUAAUUACUUUCUUUUACUCUUGGUACUUGCUUCUGUAGAAGCAAAGCAAAACAAAAAUUAGUAGAUUAAAGCAGGGUUUAAAUAUAUGGUUAUGAUUGUUUACUGAUAGGGGAUCGUAAAUGUGUUUUAAUAAGAUAUAAAUUUCUACUGCUUAAAAUACCUUUCUUUUUAAAUGCAACUUGUAAGCUUUAAAUUAAGGCGACACUUAUUACAUUUAUUCAGAGAUAGGAUAACCAUAGGAGGCCUCUGAAACUUGACUACCUGGCUUCAAAUUCCCAUGUUCCCCAACCAAAAAAAUAUAAAUUUCAUGAGAAUAAAUUUUUAAUUUUUUUGUUCACUGAUGUUUCCCAAAGGCCUUGAAUAGUGCCUAGCACAAAACAAGAAUUUAACAGACAUUUUAAAAAAUUAUAAUUAUUAUUUUUGAGAUACGGCCUUGCUCUGUCACCCGGGCUGGAGUGCAGUGUUAUGAUCAUGGCUCACUGCAGCCUCAACCUCUUGUGCUCAGAAGAUCCUCUUACCUCAGCCUCCCGAAUAGCUAGAACAUAGGCAAAAACCACCACAACACGCUAAUUUCUGUUUGUUUUGUAGAGAUGGUGUUUCACCACAUUGCCCAGGCUGGUUUCAAACUCCUAAACUCAAGAGAUCCGCCUGUCUCAGUCUCCCAAUGUGCUGUGAUUACAGGCAUAAGUCACUGUAUCUGGCCAACAAAGAUUAUAUGCAUUAAUUAAUUAAGUCCCUAUUUGUAUAUUAGUUUUCUAUUCCUGCUGUAUCAAAUUAGCACAAUCUUUUUUGUUUGUUUGAGACGGAGUCUCGCUAUCGCCAAGGCUGGAGUGCAGUGGCGCGAUCUCGGCUCACUGCAGGGUCCGCCCCCCAGGUUCACACCAUUCUCCUGCCUCAGUCUCCCGCGUAGAUGGGACUACAGGCGCCCGCCACCUCGCCCAGCUAAUUUUUUGUACUUUUAGUAGAGACGGGGUUUCACCGUGUUAGCCAGGAUAGUCUCGAUCUCCUGACCUCGUGAUCCGCCCGCCUCGGCCUCCCAAAGUGCUGGGAUUACAGGCGUGAGCCACCGCGCCCGGCCAAAUUAGCACAAUCUUAGUAGCUGAAAACACAUGAAUUUAUUAUCAUUCAGUCUUGAAGGUCAAAUAUCUGACAUAGGUCCCACUGGGUUAAAAACAAGGUACUAGCCAGGCUGCACAGCCCCUGGAGGUUAUACAGGAGAAUCCAUUUCAGUGCCUUUUCCAGCUUCUAGAGUCGCCUUCGUUCCAACGCCCAUGGCCACUUUUCACCUUCAAAGCUAGCAAUGGCUGGUUAGGUCUUUCUCACAUAGCAUCACUGUUGACACUGACUCCUUCUGCCACCUGCUUCUUUAUUUAAAGAUCCUUGUAAUUAUAUUGGGUCCACCUGGAUAAUCCAGGGUAAUCUCUCUAUUUUAAAGACAACAGAUUAGCCACCUCAUUUUCACAUGCAACCUGAUUCCCUUCUGUCAUAUAUGUAACAUACAUUCACAGGCUUCAGGGACCUGCAGGUGCACAUCUUUGGGUUAUAAUUAUUCUGCCAACGAGACUUUCCUAAUUUUGCAAUAUUAAGUAAAUUAUUUAACCACAUUGUACUACUUAUCAUAUUUGUAAAAUGUAGAUCUGCAAAAUGUUGAAUACCUAUUUCAUUAAUUUGUUGUACGGAGUUAUUGCAUGUAAAAUUCUUGGAACUGUGUAUAGUGCAUUGUUGUCACACAGUAAAAUGUAGUUUUUAUGAUUAUAAGUGUGUCCUUUAGAAGCUAAUAUUUUAUGUUCAAUAAUUUAGUUCCACUCUUCUUUAAAGGAGGAUGAAUUGAUGACAUCUGCUUAAGGUUCUGUGAAUGCUUAAUGAUAUUCAAACUUUGAAAAUGGAAAAGGUGACUUCAAUUUCAAGAUUCUAUUCUCAAAAGGUAUAUCUUUCUGGCUUUAUGUGCUGAAGUAAGUCGCCUAAAGAUAUCAUCAGAAAACACAAAUGGUUUGCAGUGUAAAUGAAGUAAUGAAAUUCUUAAGUACUUUUAAAAUCUAUUUGUCUGUUUGUGAUCUAUCUAUCAUCUAUCUAUCUAUCUAUCUAUCUAUAACGAAAUAUAUAAAACUAGAUAAUCUUCAAAUAUAGAAAGGUUUGGGACCCUCCCUUGAAUGUGUCUCAAACAGUAAGUUUAAGAGUGGUCCUGGAGGAAUUAAUCAGAUUAAGCAAGGGACUAUCACUCAGAUUAAAACCAUAGAAAAAUGCUAGUCAUAACUUAUUCCUGGAGAAUGAAAUUUAGGUACAUGAAUGAAUCUUUUGUACUCUCAACUAAACCAAGUAAAUUAUCCCUGCAUCUUAGUUGGGGCAAGUUUAAGAUAAAAUAAUGGCAGUAUUAGUUAAUAUGAGUAAAGGUUAUGUAGCAAUAGUAUAGCAAAGGAGAAAAGUCUCAAACAGCAGUCAUUUCCUCACUGAUGCAAAACAUUAUGCAAUUUAAUUCAUUACAGAAAAAUUAAGUCAUUGGUAGUAUUUUUAAUGUGAGUUUAAUUUCAAGUGUGUGCUUAUGUGUUCUCCAGUAAUCUUGUGAAGUAUAAAAUGUAAGUAUUCUAAUUGCUUAUUUUCAUUUCUCUUGAAAGAAGAAAAUUAUUUUCACACUCUAACUGUAUUUAC
This 5070-nucleotide long non-coding RNA is filed under the name Homo sapiens (human). RNAcentral's name for it is "HSALNT0071057". The record is from RNAcentral. Lineage: Eukaryota; Metazoa; Chordata; Mammalia; Primates; Hominidae.